GAUGAACGCUGGCGGCGUGCCUAAUACAUGCAAGUCGAGCGGUAAGGCCCUUCGGGGUACGACGAGCGGCGGACGGCUGAGUAACACGUAGGAACGUACCCCAAACUGAGGGAUAAGCACCAGAAAUGGUGUCUAAUACCGCAUGUGAUCUUCGGAUUAAAGCUUCGGCGGUUUGGGAACGGCCUGCGCAUGAUUAGCUUGUUGGUGAGGUAAUUGCUCACCAAGGCGACGAUCAUUAGCUGGCCUGAGAGGAUGACCAGCCAGACUGGAACUGAGAACGGUCCAGACUCCUACGGGAGGCAGCAGUAGGGAAUUUUCCACAAUGGGCGAAAGCCUGAUGGAGCAACGCCGCGUGCAGGAUGAAUGUCUUCGGAUUGUAAACUGCUUUUAUAUGUGACGAUAAUGACGGUAGCAUAUGAAUAAGGAUCGGCUAACUCCGUG
RNAcentral lists this ribosomal RNA (441 nucleotides) under uncultured bacterium. RNAcentral's name for it is "bacterial SSU rRNA". It matches the Rfam family "Bacterial small subunit ribosomal RNA", at positions 28 to 507 of the family's 1533-position model. The record is from RNAcentral.